ACUAAAUACAUAUCUCUCUUCUUUUACAGUACUUGAAAUGCAUGUAUUCACUAUCUUUCAGAUAGGUAGAUGGAUAGAUAGAUAGACAGAUAGAUAACUAUUAGUGAUCUCUCAAUACCUGAAGUUGAUUGAGGAAAACACUCUAGGAAGAUCAGUUUUCAAGAAUUUCAGCUGUUGAAUUAUCUGGAGUCCACAGACCUAAACAGUAAUACCAUAACACCUUAUAUUUGUUGAUUGCUGUAUCUUGUAUUCUAAUGAUAUGACCCUGUGAUAGGCAGAGAUGGGCCCCAAGAUUCCCAGACCCUGUUGUUAACAUCCAGUUAUUUGAUCAAACACUAAUUUAGGUACUACUUAAAUACCUUUGCAAAUAUAAUUAAGGUCUCAAACCAGUUAACCUUAAGAUAGGGAGAUGAGUUGGUGGGCCUGAUCUAAUCAUACAGGCACUUUAAAUGUGGGUGGAGAGGCUAGAGAGAGGAAGUCAGAGAGAUACAAAGUGUGGGAGGGAUUCAAUGAGAGUAAUUUUCCUCUGGCUUUGAAGAUGGAGGGAGCCCAUGUGACAAGAACCUGAGAGCAACCACCAGAGGCUGAGGGCCUAUGUCCUGGUGGCAACCCAGAAAGAAAAUUGGACCCCAGUCCUACAACCUCAAGGAUCAACUCAGCCAACAACCUGAAUGAACUUGGAAGUGGAUUCUUCCCCAGAACCUUCAGAAGGAACAUAGCCUGGCUGACACCUUGAUUUCAGCUUAAUGAUACUCUCAACAGAGAACGUUACAUGUCAAGCUGGACUUCCGACAUUUAGAACUUUGAACCAAGCGUGAACACCCAGCAGAACUGCAGUGGCAGCAUGGGCAGCCCAAAUUCUGAGAGAAGUUUCGCUUUUUGGGUAGAAGACCAGGAAAGGGAGCUGCUUUGAGCAGGAGAGAGAAUUCUGGAGAUGAGAGAGCUGGAUGAGUUGAAAACUGGCAGUUCAAAAGGACACUGAAGCUUUAGACACAAGCAUGGCUGGGAAGAGAAACAAGGCUGAGAGAACACAGAGACAGGCUUUCUCUUUGAGGUUAUAAAAUAGCUGCCAGAAUCUCCACAAGAACUAUAUUCUUUCAGAUUCCAAUCCAGCAGAAAAAAAGUGAGUGUCUUUCGGCAAUCCUAGAAAACUAAACCAUGAUAGUUGCUCAGAGUGGACCAACAGUAACUGAAACCAGGUUGUUAGUGUACUGGUUUCAUGAGCUUCUAGGGACCAGGAAUAAAGCCUCAAGCAGGACAAGCGAACUGAGAGUGGGGAGAGGAGGAUCCCCAAAUAAAAAUAAAGGUUGUUGCCACAAGAAAGGGGAGUGGAUGCCUAAUAAUUAAACAACAAAUGUCAAAUGCAAGGUAAGAGAAUUACUUGAUUCUCUUUUUUCCUCUCUCCUUAACAUAAAUAUA
This is a long non-coding RNA of Physeter macrocephalus (sperm whale), 1419 nucleotides long. RefSeq lists it as uncharacterized. The transcript has 4 exons. NCBI's taxonomy places the organism in Eukaryota, Metazoa, Chordata, Mammalia, Artiodactyla, Physeteridae. The record is from RefSeq and is a predicted model, not a curated record.